Molecule: ribosomal RNA, 491 nt
Filed under: uncultured bacterium
Lineage: Bacteria
Description: partial 16S ribosomal RNA
Rfam family: Bacterial small subunit ribosomal RNA
Source: RNAcentral
AGUGAACGCUGGCGGUAGGCCUAACACAUGCAAGUCGAACGGCAGCACAGUAAGAGCUUGCUCUUACGGGUGGCGAGUGGCGGACGGGUGAGGAAUACAUCGGAAUCUACUUUUUCGUGGGGGAUAACGUAGGGAAACUUACGCUAAUACCGCAUACGACCUACGGGUGAAAGCAGGGGAUCUUCGGACCUUGCGCGAUUGAAUGAGCCGAUGUCGGAUUAGCUAGUUGGCGGGGUAAAGGCCCACCAAGGCGACGAUCCGUAGCUGGUCUGAGAGGAUGACAAGCCACAUUGGAACUGAGAAACGGUCCAGAUUCCUACGGGAGGCAGCAGGGGGGAAUAUUGGACAAGGGGCGCAAGCCUGAUCCAGCCAUACCGGGUGGGUGAAGAAGGCCUUCGGGUUGUAAAGCCCUUUUGUUGGGAAAGAAAAGCAGCAGGUUAAUACCCCGCUGUUCUGACGGUACCCAAAGAAUAAGCACCGGCUAACUGCGU